AAAAUGUUGCAGUAGCCACCAGGCACAAUGGGGGCAUGCAUCUUUUUUGUUCCAUUUUCACAGUGCAGCCUUCCUAGCCGGCUCUCUGGCUUCCUCUAGAAUGGCCUCGGGACAAAGGGACCAAGCUUUGUUGGAUCUGAGGGAUGGAUGUCUGAGAGGCCUUCCGUGUCUGCUGACACUUCCCAGGGACUCUGGGCAGGGGAAAGACAGCACUAGCUGCUGUCCGUUGGGGAGCAGACAGAGGGCUGUGGGUGGCGGUUGCACUUUUCCAGAGUUCUCUGUAACACCCCAAGAACCCCUGUGUAUUAUCCUGCAGGGAGGUCUUCAACACUACAAUGAAGAGGUCUUUACACUACUCAUUCUUGUGAGACCUGGAAGAAGUAUUCAAUAACAUUCUCUGUAUAUUUAAUAGUCUUAAGUCAAUGUGAGAAUUAUCUUUAAUCUGAGGGGAAUCUGGAGUUGAAUGGGGCCCUGCCUCAGCCCUUAGCAUGGGGCUGCUGUUUGGGUCAGAGCCAAACUAUUAAUGGGGGCACAGUGUCAGCAAAGUGAAUACAGCCAGAUGCUCACAGACUGAAAAGCCCAUGAGAAGUUCUGGUCAGGUGUGAAGAAGAUGGAUUUAUAUGCAGAAGCAAAAGAGGUGUGUCUUGUCUUUAAGAGGUUUUUAUUGCAAUGUGUCAUUAUGAUUUUGUGGUUAGGUCUAAAAUUUGAGGAAGGAAGUAUAUACCAUCUCUUCGGGCAACCCCCUCCCCAGAAGAUCUUCUUGGGAGUGAGCAAUGGCAUGGGGUGCCAUAGGUGGGGAGCCAGCUGUGCUCUGAGGGAACAGUGUGGCCCUGGGAGGCAUUAGGCUUGGGGCCAUUCUUUGAAAUGAGAUGUGACUUAAUGUUGCCAAAGAAAUGGGAGCUGAGGUAAUGGGUGUCUCUUAUUAUUAUUAUUAUUAUUAUUAUUAUUAUUAUUAUUUUUAAGAUUGUAUUUAUUUAUUUGAGAGAAAGAGAGAGAGCAUGUAAGAGAGUGCAAGCAAGGGGAGCAGCAGAAGGAGAGAGAGAAGCAGGCUUCCCACUGAGCAUGAAGCCCCCUGUGGGGCUCAAUCCCAGGACACUGGGACCACGACCUGAGUUGAAGGCAGAUGCUUAACCAACUGAACCACCCAGCGUCCCAUGAGUGUCUCUCCUGAGAAGAGGCCUGUAAGUCCAGAACUUGACUCACCAUGUUCCCUCCUUCCUGUCACAGAGACACUGUGACACCCUGGCACUCCUGGGGGGAUCUUCCAUCAUCCUGCUCCCCAAUGAUGGUGACAUUGAGCAAAGCCUCGCUGAUCCAAGACAGGCAAGUGGCACGUGCCACAAACAGAUAAACCUGGGCUGAUGCUAGACACUGAGUUUUGGGUUUAUUGAUUACCAGUCUAUCCUGAUGGAUACAGUUGACAGCCAGCCCUACUUUCUAACAGCCACAUUUUACAUAUGUCCCGCGAAGCCUCAUAAACAUGGCGGCUAGGAGUCCUAUUCCAUCUGACAGACCAGGAAGCGGAUGCCUUGAGAGAGGAAGUCACAUAGCUGACCCUGAAACUGGCACCUCAAACACCCACCACUCCACAGGCUGAGCGGCUUAUAAACAACAGAAAUUUAUUUCUCACAGUUCUGGAGGCUGUAAGUCCAAGAUCAGCAUGUCAGUGUGGUCAGGUUCUGGGAGGACCUUCUUCCGGGUUGCAGACUGCCAUCUUAUCAUGUCCUCAUGGCAGAGGGAGGGCAAGAGAGCUCUUCUAAGGGCAGUAAUCCCAUUCAUGAGGGUUCUACCUGCCUGACAUAAUCAUCUCCCAGAGGGCCCACUUCCUGACACCAUCCCACUGGGAUUAGUGUUUCGACAUAUGAAUUUAGGGGUUGGGGAAGUAAACAUUUAGUCCAUAAUAGUGACAUCCAGAAGAAAAUGGCUAGCCAAAUGGAGACUAUGGCAAAGAAGAGACCAUGUCCCCCCCUUUCAGUGGGGGUGGCUGCUAUUCUGCUCAGCCGCCUCAGGUGGGAAGAUGACCCAGUGUUGCCAGAUCAUCCCAUUUCCAAGAGAACUUGGAACAUACAGAUUUUUUAUGUGAAAGGCGAACUCCUGAUUUUAAAAUCUUGGCAAAUAAUGAAAAAACUGAAAAUGCAUGUGUGCCAAGCAAAACACAUCUCCAGACUGAAUGUGGCCCACAAGCCUCCAGGCUGUAACCUCUGGAAAGAUCUAGAAUCAUUUUAUUGCUUGGGGCAUGUUACUGGGGGCAGAAACACGAAGUACGUCUGGAAAUGCUCUCACUCGCCUGACAUGUGGGUGGAAUCAGUUGCCAUCUGGACCAUGGCCUCUUGGAACCACCACCUGCUGCAAGGUAUCUGACAUUCCAUACCUAGGGACUUAGCUCUUCUUUGGGCAUUAUCUCCUGGUUAAAAAUAGAUUAAUCUUGACUGCCUUCUCAAUAAUUCUUUGCUUGGUAAAAAACAAUAAGCCUGAAGACAAGUCCUUGAAAUAAGUUCAGUGAGUGGGUACGGUGGCAAGAUGGCUCCCUGGAUGGAGCGGGGAGGAUAGGGAACUUGAGGUUGGGUACAUCCAGAAGCUAAUGUGGCCUACUUCAUGGAUGCCAUUCUGGCCCACCUGGUACCCAAAGUUGGCCUCCAAAACAGGAUCCCCAAUUCCCUGUAAUGCCUGAGAAAGAUCAGCAAGCCUUGAUAGAGACUUCAGCUGGCUCAAAGGAGCAGUUGAUGCAGAACCCCUCAAAUUCAGGUCUCUUAAAAGCAUGCUGAAUUUCCAUCUGUGGCUUUUUGUACAACAAUGACUUUUCCUCCCCGACUCCCACCUGUUCAACUUAUUGAUUUCAGGUCAAUUCUGGGAAAAGAGUCUCAUAUACACUCUAAGCAACUGAAUAUACAAAUGGAUAAUGGCCAGACCAUAUAUAAGACCCACAAUUUGCAGCAACCAGCACAGGAAGCCAAACAACAGCUCCUAUAGCAACUUGACUCCAAAUCGUUAGGACUUGAUUAAUAGAUUAAUAGCUGAUAGUUUCCCUAAUUCUUGUCCCUACUUCCAACUUAGGAUCCACAAGAGAAAGCCAAAUGUGCACCCCUAAUCAAUGACAUAGGUCACCAUUCAUACACACUAGCCUACUACAGCUUCUCCCGCCAACAGCCUCCAACUGGGGCACACCUGGAGCCUUCCUUCUUUUCCAUCAACACUCUCCCAUGCCCCACCCUACCCAUUUCUGCUGAUGGUGGUUGAUUCCCUUGCUAGAGCAAGCUCCAAAUAAAUAGCCUCUGCUCAUUCUCACUGGGUGAUUUGCUCCUUUCCAGAGCUCACACACAUUCACACACACAGUUUGGUUGGAAGUUGGGGUUGCCCCUAGUCAGGCCCAAUGGUCAACAUGGUGGCUUAAAAUACAUCUCCAUAUACACACCAACUCCUCUGCAGAACAGACUCGGAGGAGGAAGCAAUUCUGAAGGGAUUGGUGGACUUGUCUCUCCAGAUGUAGGGUAAAGAGGUCCAAGGGAUGUUUGAAAUCAUUGUGUUUUGACCAAAAACUUCAUUAACCUGGAGACAAUGGAGCAAUUGUCUUGUGGCAGACAAAGCAAAAUGCUCUAGACUUUGCCAAGCAGAGCUGCUUGAGUGGACUGGGCACAGGUCCCCACAGCAAUGCUGUCAGUGGAGAGAGCCACAGUGGCCACUGAACGAGAUGGGUGGGACCCACACACAGGCAGCCCUGUCACCUCUUCACCACCAGAAUCUGUCAGGAAGGCAACAAGCAUCUCAUUCUUUGAAUCUAUGAAAAUGAAUGAACUUUCCACCCUCAACAAGUCACCAGACCUACAUUAGGCCCAACUAAAAGAGAUACACUUUGGGAAGGGGACAGAAUUUUCUAAUCUAAGAACAAAUGUCAUGGAUGGAGGGCUUUAAUUACAUUGUACCUGCAUUUUGCAGGGAGAGGCAGUUGGAAAUUAAAGAAGUAGAAAUUUAUAAUACUAAUUAAAAAGAGAACUUGGCUUGUAUUCCUGGCUCCCUCUCUCACCAGUGUCUGAUAUUUUAAAAGGUUCAGAAGAAUUAGUUUUUCCUCCAGACAUAACUCUACAAAGAGAGCAUUUAGAAGCGCUGUUUGUAGCUCAGCAAAUUAGGAGAGGGGGGAAAGGGAGACACUACACUGGAGCCCCCUCCCCAUCCUGGCACAGGAAUGGGAAGAGAAGGUGCUAAAGUAUCUUCAUUCUUCCUUAAGAACAUCUGCCAAUGACUUAAACCAAGGUCUCAAUUCUGGUCCUGUUAAUUAGUCUGACCUCAUGGAAUCUACCAGAAGAAAAGCAGUCUGGAAAGCAGCUCUGCCUCUGUCUCUACCGCUUCUGUGUCAUCACGUGACACAGCAGUUGCUAUGGAGAUUAUCAGUCGUGAGUGGAUUGUCCACAAGUUGAACUUGCAUCUGACAAGUCAAAUUUGUCACUUUGGGGGAAAAGUAAAGAGGCUUACUAUUUUUUGUUGUUGUUCUUAAAGAGAUUUCCUUGGCUCCUGACAAUGCCCUCUUCCCCUUUCCAGCUUGGUAGGCUAUUUUCCACGUUGUGGUCCUGAACUAAAGAAAAGUUGUUUUAUUCUCUCAUGUUCUAUAGCAUCUAGAAAGAAUCUACAGAGUUGGCACCAAUGGCCCUCCGUGAUGAUUUCUGUAUAACAUAAAAUGCACCCUGUGAUUCAACUUCAGAACAGGUCUCUGUUUUUUCUGUGAUGGGAAUGGUAUGCCAGUGACUGGCUUGCUCUCCAGCUAGUGGAUCUCAUGUCCUUCACUGGUAUGAAUGCCCUCCCACCACACACUGCUGCUCCUGUGUGUGCUUGCAUGUGUGUAUGCACAUGAGUGUAUGUGUAUUUUGCCCUGUUGCUCUUUGUCCUUCAGCAGGUAAUGACUUUCAUGGACAGGCUUUAUCGGAUUAAAAGUGAAACAGCCAUUUGGUAAAGGCCACCCCAUCAAGCCAACUGAUGACAGGGGACUGGGUUGGAGCCAUGGAAAGAGGAGAGAGGCAGGCUCAGCACAGCUUUAGUGGGAGGGUAGGGAAGGAAGCUUCUACACUGGAUGAGCCUGCCUUUCGUCAUCCCCAAUGUCCUUGUUUUGCCUUAUUUCUUCUUUGGUUCAGCUCCUAACCAGGGCCUAACUUUAUAGGAACCUUUAGAAGCAGUAGCCCACCUAUGAUGGAUAACAUGGCAUUUGAAGGGCUCCCAAGUUUGAGUGCUGUAGCUUGGUGUGUGGGUGCCGUUGUCAGGCCUGGCCAACAACUGUCAAGGCCCUGGUCUCAGAUACAUGCCCCUGCCUCUUUGAAAUCUUCCUAAUCCCCCAGAUGAGCCUGAACUGGGAAGCUGGGGCCAGGGCCUCAUUCCCAGACAGAACCAGAAGAAGGCCUCAACGUAGAGAGAUUGGGGUCUGAACCGGGCAGUG
Molecule: long non-coding RNA, 5419 nt
Filed under: Canis lupus familiaris (dog)
Lineage: Eukaryota; Metazoa; Chordata; Mammalia; Carnivora; Canidae
Description: lncRNA (ENSCAFG00845009368.1)
Source: RNAcentral